Molecule: long non-coding RNA, 1788 nt
Organism: Pezoporus occidentalis (night parrot)
Lineage: Eukaryota; Metazoa; Chordata; Aves; Psittaciformes; Psittacidae
Exons: 2
Source: RefSeq, a predicted model, not a curated record
CAGGAAACGUCACCAAAUUCAGUUUCCUCUUCAUGCUGCAAUAACAACCACCACAUCUUCAGGACCUGCAUAUGCAUCUUGUUUCAGUGCUAAGUAGUGCAGUUAGUAACUACUGCUUGUGUCAUAGCUGUAAAAGAUCCUUCAUGCCUGAAACUUUGAAUGGUGGCAGAUGUGGACAUAUAUGUAAGAGCACUGAGUUUUUACAGCCAUGUCUGUAACUGUCUUGUCUCAACUCUUCCCAAGAUAUAAUAACCUGAUCUAACAAGUCAGUGGUGUAAUUUUUCCCCUGUAUCAUCAGAAAGAUGUGUUGUCUGGGGCAAUGUUGUAGCUUCAAGUGAUGACUAAGAAUAUUCACCACCUCUUUAGAUUAGGUUCAUAAUUGGGAGGAUUUUGACUCCCACAGUUGACAGCAGCUUUUAGUUUUACUGUAAACUGACUUAGUACCUUUCUGGCCUAGUUUUAGUUGUCAGUAAAGUCAUUCUUUGCAGUUGUCUUCCUAUUUUCUCAAUAGCCUUAGCUAUGUAAGGAUCCGUGCCAGCAGCUGUGGCUAUCAGCUGCUAUGUUUCUAGUGACUUUGCUGCUGCAGACUGUAACCGGGGAAAUACUGAAAACCUCUUGAUAAACUUAAUGGCAUGAUGUGAUGUGGCUUUUUCUUCAGAUGGCACCAUGUCUUGAACGUCAGCAUCUGCUGCCAGUGAAUACACCCACUUGCACUGGACAUGAGUCACCAAUAGCUCCACAGCUGCAGCCCCAAACCAGCAUCUGCGUACAGAAGUGAGGGGAGAUCUCAGGAUUUAAGGCAGCCACAGCGCUCUGCUGCCAGCUCAGCCAGAACAACUCACACACCAAGUCCAAAGCAGCCACUCUGGGGAAGUCACUUGAGGUGUUCUUGGCAACUCCUAAAGUACCCCAAGAUCACCAUUGCCACCCAUCUCGUUCCAUGCUCCUGUGUCCACAGGCAUCGCUGGCACCAAGACACCAGGACAGGAACCACCAGAGGAGCUGCUGUUGCCUCCUCCACCGGUAGCUUGUGUUACAUGGGGCAGCUGUCAUCUACCAGUGACUCUGGUGAUGGGUUCCGUGGAGUUCCAUGGCCUUACACACGUGAACACAGGGAGUUCCAGAAUCAGCCACCCCUCUGGUCCCCAUGUCCCCAUGUUCACUGUGAUGGUUGGGUCCAUGGGAUGCUCUGGAGGUGCUCCAGGCAUUCUCUGGGAUUCUCUAGGGGUAUCCCUGGGAUGCUCUGUGGGUGUUGAGGAUGCACUGGAGGUGCUUUAGGGGUCAAAGCAGCCCAAAUCCCACCCAAAUAUGGCAAACUGGGGUUUUAUUGUUUGUUUUUUUUUUACUCCAAUCUUGCCAAGAGCAGGGAGCAUUUACUCAGUCCUGACACUCACUAAAUAGAAUUUCCCUCCUUCUUAUCAAAUCUAUAUUAAAUCUCUGGUAAAUCCAGGGAGAGCUGCCUCUCUGCAUGCCUUGAAUCAGCAAUACACCCGCUGCCAGACGGCUAUCAUUCUGAGCAACCUGUGACAGUGUCCCACCACCCUCACAGGGAAGAACUUCCUCCUAAGGUCUCAUCUCAUUCACCCCCCUCUGUCAACUUAAAGCCGUUCCCAGUUGUCUGAUCACUACAUGCCUUUGUAAAGAAUUCGCCUCCACCUUUCUUGUAAAAAUCAAUCAGAUACUGGAAGGCAAACUCAUUGUCUAAGUCAUCAUCUAAAUUAUCAUUUACAUCAUCUUCAAAUCAUUGGGAAUUAACAGUUGAAUUAAAAUUCAGUUAUUGCUAAAUCA